CCUACGGGAGGCUGCAGUGAGGAAUAUUGGUCAAUGGACGGAAGUCUGAACCAGCCAUGCCGCGUGCAGGAAGACGGCUCUCUGAGUUGUAAACUGCUUUUGUACAAGGGUGCACCUGAAUACGUGUAUUCAGCUGAACAUACUUUACGACUAACGAUCGGCUAACUCCGUGCCAGCAGCCGCGGUAAUACGGAGGAUCCAAGCGUUUUCCGGAUUUAUUGGGGUUAAAGGGUGCGUAGGCGGAUUGAUAAGUUAGAGGUGAAAUGUCCGAGCUUAACUCGGGAACUGCCUCUAAUACUGUUGAUCUAGAGAGUAGAUGCGGUAGGCGGAAUGUAUGGUGUAGCGGUGAAAUGCGUAGAGAUCAUACAGAACACCGAUUGCGAAGGCAGAUGACCAAUCUACAUCUGACGUUGAGGCACGAAAGCGUGGGGAGCAAACAGGAUUAGAUACCCCAGUAGUC
Molecule: ribosomal RNA, 460 nt
Filed under: uncultured bacterium
Lineage: Bacteria
Description: partial 16S ribosomal RNA
Rfam family: Bacterial small subunit ribosomal RNA
Source: RNAcentral